UCUNCCGCAAUGGACGAGAGUCUGACGGAGCNACGCCGCGUGAGUGAAGAAGGCCUUCGGGUCGUAAAACUCUGUUGCCGGGGAAGAACAAGUGCCGUUCGAACAGGGCGGCACCUUGACGGUACCCGGCCAGAAAGCCACGGCUAACUACGUGCCAGCAGCCGCGGUAAUACGUAGGUGGCAAGCGUUGUUCGGAAUUAUUGGGCGUAAAGCGCGCGCAAGCGGCUUCUUAAGUCUGAUGUGAAAUCUUGCGGCUCAACCGCAAGCGGUCAUUGGAAACUGGGAGGCUUGAGAGCAGAAGAGGAGAGUGGAAUGCCACGUGUAGCGGUGGAAUGCGUAGAGAUGUGGAGGAACACCAGUGGCGAAGGCGGCUCUCUGGUCUGUAACUGACGCUGAGGCGCGAAAGCGUGGGGAGCAAACAGG
Molecule: ribosomal RNA, 423 nt
Filed under: uncultured bacterium
Lineage: Bacteria
Description: bacterial SSU rRNA
Rfam family: Bacterial small subunit ribosomal RNA
Source: RNAcentral